GGUCCCGCUGGAGUCUGCCUAACCAGGCUGCCGAGAAAAGCCUCGGCGGGGAGUGCAUCUUGUGACCGUACCGCAAACGGACACACGUAGGCGAGGCGAGAAGCCUCAGGUGCUCGAGUGAACUGUGGAGAAGGAACUCGGCAAAAUGUCCCCGUAACUUCGGGAGAAGGGGAGCCGGUGGUACUUGAACGCCCCUCGCGGGCGCAAGGGGAAGCCGGCCGCAGAGAAUCGGCCCAAGCGACUGUUUAGCAAAAACACAGGUGUCUGCGAAGUCGUGCAAGACGACGUAUAGGCACUGACGCCUGCCCGGUGCCGGAAGGUUAAGAGGAGGAGUCAGUCCCCUUCGGGGGGUGAAGCCCUGAAUCGAAGCCCCGGUAAACGGCGGCCGUAACAAUAACGGUCCUAAGGUAGCGAAAUUCCUUGUCGGGUAAGUUCCGACCUGCACGAAUGGCGUAACGACUUGGGCGCUGUCUCCUCCACAAGCUCGGCGAAAUUGGAGUCUCGGUGAGGAUACCGAGUACCCGCGACAGGACAAAAAGACCCCGUGCACCUUUACUGCACCCUGACAUUGUUCUUCGGCACCACUUGUGUAGCAUAGGUGGGAGGCUACGAGGCGGGCCCGCCAGGGCUCGUGGAGCCAUCAGUGAAAUACCACCCUGGUGAUGUUGGAGAUCUAACCUGACGCCCCUGAAGCGGGGCGAGGGACCGUGUCAGGCGGGCAGUUUGACUGGGGCGGUCGCCUCCUAAAGCGUAGCGGAGGCGCGCAAAGGUUCCCUCAGCGCGGUCGGCAAUCGCGCGUAGAGAGCGUAAACGCACAAGGGAGCUUGACUGCGAGACCAACAAGUCGAGCAGGUGCGAAAGCAGGCGUUAGUGAUCCGGCGGUUCCGUGUGGAAGGGCCGUCGCUCAACGGAUAAAAGGUACGCCGGGGAUAACAGGCUUAUCGCCCCCGAGAGUUCACAUCGACGGGGCGGUUUGGCACCUCGAUGUCGGCUCAUCGCAUCCUGGGGCUGGAGAAGGUCCCAAGGGUCCGGCUGUUCGCCGGUUAAAGCGGUACGCGAGCUGGGUUCAGAACGUCGUGAGACAGUUCGGUCUGUAUCCGUCGUGGGCGUUGGAAGAUUGAUGGACGCCGUCCCUAGUACGAGAGGACCGGGACGGACCGACCUCUGGUGUACCGGUUGUCGUGCCAACGGCAGUGCCGGGUAGCUAAGUCGGGACGGGAUAACCGCUGAAAGCAUCUAAGUGGGAAGCCCCUCCAGAGAUGAAUCUUCCCGGGGACUCGAUCCCCCUGAAGGGCCGUGGGAGACCACCACGUCGAUAGGCGGCAGGUGCAGGGCGCGCGAGCGCUACAGCCGAGCCGUACUAAGGGCCCGUGCGGCUUGACCG
Molecule: ribosomal RNA, 1384 nt
Filed under: metagenome
Description: bacterial LSU rRNA
Rfam family: Bacterial large subunit ribosomal RNA
Source: RNAcentral